GACGAACGCUGGCGGCGUGCUUAACACAUGCAAGUCGAACGAAGAGCGAUGGAAGCUUGCUUCUAUCAAUCUUAGUGGCGAACGGGUGAGUAACGCGUAAUCAACCUGCCCUUCAGAGGGGGACAACAGUUGGAAACGACUGCUAAUACCGCAUACGAUCUAAUCUCGGCAUCGAGGAAAGAUGAAAGGUGGCCUCUAUUUAUAAGCUACCACUGAAGGAGGGGAUUGCGUCUGAUUAGCUAGUUGGAGGGGUAACGGCCCACCAAGGCGAUGAUCAGUAGCCGGUCUGAGAGGAUGAACGGCCACAUUGGGACUGAGACACGGCCCAGACUCCUACGGGAGGCAGCAGUGGGGAAUCUUCCGCAAUGGACGAAAGUCUGACGGAGCAACGCCGCGUGAGUGAUGACGGCCUUCGGGUUGUAAAGCUCUGUUAAUCGGGACGAAAGGCCUUCUUGCGAACAGUUAGAAGGAUUGACGGUACCGGAAUAGAAAGCCACGGCUAACUACGUG
RNAcentral lists this ribosomal RNA (510 nucleotides) under uncultured bacterium. RNAcentral's name for it is "partial 16S ribosomal RNA". It matches the Rfam family "Bacterial small subunit ribosomal RNA", at positions 28 to 507 of the family's 1533-position model. The record is from RNAcentral.